Molecule: long non-coding RNA, 325 nt
Filed under: Pongo abelii (Sumatran orangutan)
Lineage: Eukaryota; Metazoa; Chordata; Mammalia; Primates; Hominidae
Description: lincRNA
Source: RNAcentral
AGGCCCCGUGUGAGAAGCCCCCUUCCCAGUGAACUCUCCCGUGUGUGUACGCGUGGACAGCCAACAGGGGGAGCAGUGCGAGCGUGAAGGCAGACAGUGGCCUGGCCCAGUCUGAUGGUGCAGAAGCUGAGCUGCAGAGGCGUUAAGUACCUGCCUCAUAAGUGGUAGAGACUCCAGUGUCACCCUGCCCUUCAAGUUCGGAGCCCCCGAGGGAGGGUCUGCCGGGCAGCUCAGCCCAGCACUCUGUAAGGAAAUCUUCAGUGCCACUGCCCAGGAUGUCUUCCCGGGGAUUGGGCCUGAAUGUCUUGACCGUGCUGUGCUGGAG